GGUCUAGUCGCCUGGGGCCAAGCCCUCUGCUGCCCAGGACGGCCCUCACCUUCCGCUCGAGGCGCCGGGAGAGGGAGGGAUCAAGCAGACACCUCAGGCCGGGACACUUGAACCAACUGACGCCGGCAGCUCCGCCCACUCCGCCCACAGAAUGUGCGUGAGAAGAAUCCCGCCCCGUCCCGGCACCCCGCCCGCCAAUCACGACUCGAGGAAACACGCCUGCGCAUUAGCUGCCCGCCGCCCCCAAGUCGUCCAGUCUCAAAGCACAGGACACUGACAUCCAAUCAGGAUUGAGGUCGCUGUGGGCGGGACCUGGAAGAGCGACAGCCAGUGACAGUAAAGAAGGAAGCUGCGCCGCCCUGGUGAAGUGGCUCAUCGUGUCUCUUAGGAAACCUUGAGAAUUGGAGUGAGAAUCCCAGUGUGGAAAAUCAGGAGAGAGGUUAUUGAAUUCAUUGGAGAAUGCUGUUCUGAAUUUGUAUCUUAAGGGAAAUAUUACAGAAUGUCACAGAAGAUGUUGGUUGGAUAUCUAAAGUUCAAAAAGGAAGAGAACCACUUGAGCUGGAGAUUCAAGAAGCAUCAGUAGAAGUCAAUGGCCAUUAAUAAAAACAUUUUUUAUUAAAAUAUUGAAUCUGAAUAGAAA
Macaca mulatta (Rhesus monkey) is the source of this 640-nucleotide non-coding RNA. Lineage: Eukaryota; Metazoa; Chordata; Mammalia; Primates; Cercopithecidae. The record is from RefSeq and is a predicted model, not a curated record.